GCGCGAAUGGCGGAAUUGGUAGACGCGCUGGAUUUAGGUUCCAGUGCCUGCGGGCGUGGGGGUUCGAGUCCCCCUUCGCGCA
This 82-nucleotide transfer RNA is filed under the name Falsarthrobacter nasiphocae. RNAcentral describes it as "tRNA-Leu". It matches the Rfam family "tRNA". Rfam says of the family: Transfer RNA (tRNA) molecules are approximately 80 nucleotides in length. Their secondary structure includes four short double-helical elements and three loops (D, anti-codon, and T loops). Lineage: Bacteria; Bacillati; Actinomycetota; Actinomycetes; Micrococcales; Micrococcaceae. The record is from RNAcentral.